GCCGCGUGCGGGAUGACGGCCUUCGUGGUUGUAAACCGCUUUCAGCAGGGACGAAAAUGACGGUACCUGCAGAAGAAGUCCCGGCUAACUACGUGCCAGCAGCCGCGGUAAUACGUAGGGGACAAGCGUUGUCCGGAUUCAUUGGGCGUAAAGAGCUCGUAGGCGGUUCAGUAAGUUGGGUGUGAAAGCUCCGGGCUCAACCCGGAGAGGCCACUCAAUACUGCUGUGACUAGAGUCCAGUAGAGGAGCGUGGAACUCCUGGUGUAGCGGUGAAAUGCGCAGAUAUCAGGAAGAACACCUGCAGCGAAGGCGGCGCUCUGGGCUGGAACUGACGCUGAGGAGCGAAAGCAUGGGUAGCAAACAGGAUUAGAUACCCUGGUAGUCCAUGCCGUAAACGUUGGGCACUAGGUGUGGGGAGGAAUCAACCCUCUCCGUGCCGUAGCUAACGCAUUAAGUG
Molecule: ribosomal RNA, 457 nt
Filed under: uncultured Actinomycetales bacterium
Lineage: Bacteria; Bacillati; Actinomycetota; Actinomycetes; Actinomycetales
Description: bacterial SSU rRNA
Rfam family: Bacterial small subunit ribosomal RNA
Source: RNAcentral